Molecule: long non-coding RNA, 291 nt
Filed under: Manihot esculenta (cassava)
Lineage: Eukaryota; Viridiplantae; Streptophyta; Magnoliopsida; Malpighiales; Euphorbiaceae
Description: long non-coding RNA (MESC_LNC009196)
Source: RNAcentral
CAGCUCGGGAUCUGCAGCAGAUCAGCAGAACAUGAAGCGGGCCGCAGAAUGAACCAACGGCGUGUGUCAAACCUAUGUUUCUUGAUUAACGUUCCUUGAGCUCCGUCUGUCGUGGACGGUGACCGGCGACAGGAGGUGGUGCCUCUGGCGGGAGGUGAGCAGCAGCCUGAUGGAGUACGGAGGCGACGGCGGUGUGGAAAUCAGUGAGAGACUAGGAAUGGCUGAAUGGUUCAUCAAUAAGCAAACACACGAUUUAGGAAUUCACUCGUGGGUUGUAUAUUUGGCUCCACA